RNAcentral lists this transfer RNA (84 nucleotides) under Schistocephalus solidus. It matches the Rfam family "tRNA". Rfam says of the family: Transfer RNA (tRNA) molecules are approximately 80 nucleotides in length. Their secondary structure includes four short double-helical elements and three loops (D, anti-codon, and T loops). The record is from Rfam by way of RNAcentral. Lineage: Eukaryota; Metazoa; Platyhelminthes; Cestoda; Diphyllobothriidea; Diphyllobothriidae.
AGCCUCGUAGCUCAUUUGGCUUGAGUGUUGGCUGUACUAAAGCCUUCCCCCUUGUUGGUGUGGGUUCAAAUCCCACCAAGGCCG